GACGAACGCUGGCGGCGUGCCUAAUACAUGCAAGUAGAACGCUGAAGGAGGAGCUUGCUCUUCUGGAUGAGUUGCGAACGGGUGAGUAACGCGUAGGUAACCUGCCUGGUAGUGGGGGAUAACUAUUGGAAGCGAUAGCUAAUACCGCAUAAUAACAGUUGUUGCAUGACAACUGUUUGAAAGGUGCAAUUGCAUCACUACCAGAUGGACCUGCGUUGUAUUAGCUAGUUGGUGGGGUAACGGCUCACCAAGGCGACGAUACAUAGCCGACCUGAGAGGGUGAUCGGCCACACUGGGACUGAGACACGGCCCAGACUCCUACGGGGGGCAGCAGUAGGGAAUCUUCGGCAAUGGACGAAAGUCUGACCGAGCAACGCCGCGUGAGUGAAGAAGGUUUUCGGAUCGUAAAGCUCUGUUGUAAGAGAAGAACGAGUGUGAGAGUGGAAAGUUCACAC
Molecule: ribosomal RNA, 455 nt
Filed under: Streptococcus sp. oral taxon C56
Lineage: Bacteria; Bacillati; Bacillota; Bacilli; Lactobacillales; Streptococcaceae
Description: bacterial SSU rRNA
Rfam family: Bacterial small subunit ribosomal RNA
Source: RNAcentral